CAUCCGCGUAUGCGUUCAUCGGGAGUGGAAAUGUCCAUGACUGCAGCUUCCGCGCGAUGGUCGCAGUCUAUCGCUGUCGCAUAGUCGCGUCCUGUGGUUUUCGUCGACAUGCCGAGACGAUGUUGGAUAGUUGGCUGCCCUGAUUUACGUCAAUAUUCGCCUGGCAUCCAAUGUCAUAUGCUUCCCAAUGACGAGACGGACAGCUUUUGAUGCCAUGAAGCAAUCGGACCGCCGGGGUGGAAAGACGAUGCGGUGCCAUCGACUGCUCAUGUUUGUAGCGGACAUUUGCAUGACUGAAUUUACGAAGGGUACGCUGAAUCUCUUCAACGUACUGGAUAACGAGGUCAGUGUCGUCUGAAUCAAGGUGUAGCACCAUCACAAUGCCUGUCCACAGCGGGGAAAGAACAUCCAUCUAAACGGCGCAAAAGUGUGACUUCCUCAGCGGAGCCUGAAAUCCCUUAGGGCAGCCCAUGUGUAUGGCAGCUGAAGUCUUUCACCAGGGUAACAUGCCAGAACAACUCCAGCAAGUGCAAUGCAGGUCACCUCUAAAUUAAAGGAGCCUACCUUUGAUGCGCUAUGUCCUCAUGAGAUUUUGUUCCUGCUACAACUCUGCGCUUUGUUUCACAUUACCAAAAAAUAACCCUACCAACCAUUAUCAUACCAGUGGUGUACUGCUGUGCUCAACCAGUUCAACUUGCUCUGGGCAUCCUGCAUGGCUGUGCAGCUACUUCAG
This is a long non-coding RNA of Ornithodoros turicata, 733 nucleotides long. RefSeq lists it as uncharacterized. Lineage: Eukaryota; Metazoa; Arthropoda; Arachnida; Ixodida; Argasidae. The record is from RefSeq and is a predicted model, not a curated record. The transcript has 3 exons.